UAGGGAAUCUUCCGCAAUGGACGCAAGUCUGACGGAGCAACGCCGCGUGAGUGAAGAAGGAUUUCGGUUCGUAAAACUCUGUUGUUAGAGAAGAACAGCGCAUAGAGUAACUGCUAUGCGUGUGACGGUAUCUAACCAGAAAGCCACGGCUAACUACGUGCCAGCAGCCGCGGUAAUACGUAGGUGGCAAGCGUUGUCCGGAUUUAUUGGGCGUAAAGCGAGCGCAGGCGGUCAAUUAAGUCUGAUGUGAAAGCCCCCGGCUCAACCGGGGAGGGUCAUUGGAAACUGGUUGACUUGAGUGCAGAAGAGGAGAGUGGAAUUCCAUGUGUAGCGGUGAAAUGCGUAGAUAUAUGGAGGAACACCAGUGGCGAAGGCGACUCUCUGGUCUGUAACUAACACUGAGGCUCGAAAGCGUGGGUAGCAAACAGG
Molecule: ribosomal RNA, 429 nt
Filed under: Bacteroidota bacterium
Lineage: Bacteria; Pseudomonadati; Bacteroidota
Description: Bacteroidetes bacterium partial 16S ribosomal RNA
Rfam family: Bacterial small subunit ribosomal RNA
Source: RNAcentral